RNAcentral lists this ribosomal RNA (886 nucleotides) under uncultured bacterium. Its description in RNAcentral is "bacterial SSU rRNA". It matches the Rfam family "Bacterial small subunit ribosomal RNA", at positions 66 to 949 of the family's 1533-position model. The record is from RNAcentral.
GGCAGCACGACGUAGCAAUACAUUGGUGGCGACCGGCGCACGGGUGAGUAACGCGUAUGCAACCUACCUAUCAGAGGGGAAUAACCCGGCGAAAGUCGGACUAAUACCGCAUAAAACAGGGGUUCCACAUGGAAAUAUUUGUUAAAGAAUUAUCGCUGAUAGAUGGGCAUGCGUUCCAUUAGAUAGUUGGUGAGGUAACGGCUCACCAAGUCCACGAUGGAUAGGGGUUCUGAGAGGAAGGUCCCCCACACUGGUACUGAGACACGGACCAGACUCCUACGGGAGGCAGCAGUGAGGAAUAUUGGUCAAUGGGCGAGAGCCUGAACCAGCCAAGUCGCGUGAAGGAUGAAGGAUCUAUGGUUUGUAAACUUCUUUUAUAUGGGAAUAAAGUGAGGAACGUGUUCCUUUUUGUAUGUACCAUAUGAAUAAGCAUCGGCUAACUCCGUGCCAGCAGCCGCGGUAAUACGGAGGAUGCGAGCGUUAUCCGGAUUUAUUGGGUUUAAAGGGUGCGUAGGUGGUUAAUUAAGUCAGCGGUGAAAGUUUGUGGCUCAACCAUAAAAUUGCCGUUGAAACUGGUUGACUUGAGUAUAUUUGAGGUAGGCGGAAUGCGUGGUGUAGCGGUGAAAUGCAUAGAUAUCACGCAGAACUCCGAUUGCGAAGGCAGCUUACUAAACUAUAACUGACACUGAGGCACGAAAGCGUGGGGAUCAAACAGGAUUAGAUACCCUGGUAGUCCACGCAGUAAACGAUGAUUACUAGCUGUUUGCGAUACACAGUAAGCGGCACAGCGAAAGCGUUAAGUAAUCCACCUGGGGAGUACGCCGGCAACGGUGAAACUCAAAGGAAUUGACGGGGGCCCGCACAAGCGGAGGAACAUGUGGUUUAA